GCAUAGGCUAUGACGUACCUUGACUCCGCUGUAGCUUAGCUUGGUUCGUUAGCCGCGCUUCCGCGGUGAUGAAUCUUCAUUUUGCGAACUUUGCGCCCAGUAAAGCUCACGUCCAGCUCGGUAUUCCAGGCAAUAAGCGCUUUCCUCCCAUGCCUACGUUCCAGCACCGUCUACGUUGUGACGUCACAACGUCCCGGGUAGUUUCAAAAUGGAGGACGGCAUGGAUUUAAAAACCAGAGAAGAGGACGGAAGCGAAUAUGCAUUUGACAAGUUUAUCAGCUGCUGGGUUGGGAAUUCGUCGGCGUCGCUCCGGGGAUCCUCAGGCCUGCAGGUCCUCCGAUAACAGCAGCAGAAAUUGGUCGUUUCUUUUAAGACAGUCCAUUAAUAUUACACAAAUGAGGUUUUAAAUCAUUCCCCUGUGCAAUCUGUUAUCUGAAGGGCAGAGCGUUUCCUUGUCACAGCGAGUGGAAAAGCAUAAUCAGAAGUUAUAUUUUGGA
Molecule: long non-coding RNA, 497 nt
Organism: Xiphophorus couchianus (Monterrey platyfish)
Lineage: Eukaryota; Metazoa; Chordata; Actinopteri; Cyprinodontiformes; Poeciliidae
Exons: 4
Source: RefSeq, a predicted model, not a curated record